UAUUCCACUGUCUGUGCCCUGGGGGAGAAAAGGGGUCUGCCGAGGCCUGGGGGAGCCUGCUUGGAGUUGGAUGGUGAAGGAGACUGGCCUUUACCGCAUCGAUGUGGUUUUCCUGGGACCAUUCUCCUGAGGAGUGGGGGCGGGACCCUGCUUAGAGAAGGGGAUGGUGGGUGAGCCUCCUGCUCUGUAAUCUGACAUCCUUUUCCCCACCUCUUCCAGCGAAGGCCCCGGGGAGCCGCCUCUUCAUCCACUCACAGGUCACUCCCUUCUUAGCUGGAACCUGGACCCUGGCUCAACUUGAA
RNAcentral lists this long non-coding RNA (302 nucleotides) under Homo sapiens (human). RNAcentral's name for it is "non-protein coding lnc-MRM1-1:1". The record is from RNAcentral. Lineage: Eukaryota; Metazoa; Chordata; Mammalia; Primates; Hominidae.